AGUGAACGCUGGCGGUAGGCCUAACACAUGCAAGUCGAACGGCAGCACAGUAAGAGCUUGCUCUUACGGGUGGCGAGUGGCGGACGGGUGAGGAAUACAUCGGAAUCUACUUUUUCGUGGGGGAUAACGUAGGGAAACUUACGCUAAUACCGCAUACGACCUACGGGUGAAAGCAGGGGAUCUUCGGACCUUGCGCGAUUGAAUGAGCCGAUGUCGGAUUAGCUAGUUGGCGGGGUAAAGGCCCACCAAGGCGACGCUCCGUAGCUGGUCUGAGAGGAUGAUCAGCCACACUUGAACUGAGACACGGUCCAGACUCCUACGGGAGGCAGCAGUGGGGAAUAUUUGACAAUGGGCGCAAGCCUGAUCCAGCCAUACCGCGUGGGUGAAGAAGGCCUUCGGGUUGUAAAGCCCUUUUGUUGGGAAAGAAAAGCAGCAGGUUAAUACCCCGCUGUUCUGACGGUACCCAAAGAAUAAGCACCGGCUAACUUCGUG
RNAcentral lists this ribosomal RNA (492 nucleotides) under uncultured bacterium. Its description in RNAcentral is "partial 16S ribosomal RNA". It matches the Rfam family "Bacterial small subunit ribosomal RNA", at positions 29 to 507 of the family's 1533-position model. The record is from RNAcentral.